This 755-nucleotide ribosomal RNA is filed under the name uncultured bacterium. RNAcentral describes it as "bacterial SSU rRNA". It matches the Rfam family "Bacterial small subunit ribosomal RNA", at positions 46 to 802 of the family's 1533-position model. The record is from RNAcentral.
GCCUAAUAUUGCAUGUCGAACGAAGCACUUGUGCUUAGUGGCAAAUGGGUGAGUAACACGUACUUAAUCUACCCCCAAGUUUGGGAUAACAGUUGGAAACAAUUGCUAAUACCAAAUACAUAUAAGUUUUGCAUAAUUCUUAUAUAAAAGGAGCGUUUGUUUCGCUAGGGGAUGAGAGUGCGCUACAUUAGUUAGUUGGUAGGGUAAGAGCCUACCAAGACUAUGAUGUAUAGCGGGGCUGAGAAGCUGAACCGCCACACUGGGACUGAGAUACGGCCCAGACUCCUACGGGAGGCAGCAGUAGGGAAUAUUCCACAAUGAGCGAAAGCUUGAUGGAGCAACACAGCGUGCAGGAAGACGACCUUAGGGUUGUAAACUGCUGUUAUGAGGGAAGAAAAAUAAAAUUAGGAAAUGAAUUUUACAUGACGGUACCUCAUCAGAAAGCACCGGCAAACUAUGUGCCAGCAGCCGCGGUAAUACAUAGGGUGCAAGCGUUAUCCGGAAUUAUUGGGCGUAAAGUGUCUGUAGGUGGUAUGUUAAGUCUAGUGUUAAAGACUAGGGCCCAACCCUAGCACGCUCUAGAUACUGACAUGCUAGAGUCAUAGAGAGGUUAGCGGAACUCCUAGUGAAGCGGUGAAAUGUGUAGAUAUUAGGAAGAACACCAAUAGCGAAGGCAGCUAACUGGAUAUGUACUGACACUCAGAGACGAAAGCGUGGGUAGCAAACAGGAUUAGAUACCCUGGUAGUCCACGCCG